RNAcentral lists this small nuclear RNA (107 nucleotides) under Dryobates pubescens (Downy woodpecker). The record is from RNAcentral. Lineage: Eukaryota; Metazoa; Chordata; Aves; Piciformes; Picidae.
AUGCUUCCAAAGCAAGCACAUACACUAAAAAUUGGAAGCUACAGAGAAGAUUAACAUGGCCCCUGCACAAGGAUGACAUAAAAAUUCGUGAAGCAUUCCAUAUUUUA